This 119-nucleotide ribosomal RNA is filed under the name Gossypium hirsutum (cotton). Lineage: Eukaryota; Viridiplantae; Streptophyta; Magnoliopsida; Malvales; Malvaceae. The record is from RNAcentral.
GGGUGCGAUCAUACCAGCACUAAUGCACCGGAUCCUAUUAGAACUUCGCAGUUAAGCGGGCUUGGGCGAGAGUAGUACUAGGAUGGGUGACCUCCUGGGAAGUCCUCGUGUUGCACCCC